This 301-nucleotide ribosomal RNA is filed under the name uncultured bacterium. RNAcentral's name for it is "partial 16S ribosomal RNA". It matches the Rfam family "Bacterial small subunit ribosomal RNA", at positions 509 to 809 of the family's 1533-position model. The record is from RNAcentral.
CAGCAGCCACGGGAAUACGAAGGGGGCUAGCGUUGUUCGGAUUUACUGGGCGUAAAGCGCACGUAGGCGGAUCGAUCAGUCAGGGGUGAAAUCCCAGAGCUCAACUCUGGAACUGCCUUUGAUACUGUCGAUCUGGAGUAUGGAAGAGGAAAGUGGAAUUCCUAGUGUAGCGGUGAAAUGCGUAGAUAUUCGGAAGAACACCAGUGGCGAAGGCGGCCCGCUGGACAUGUAUUGACGCUGAGGUGCGAAAGCGUGGGGAGCAAACAGGAUUAGAUACCCCCGUAGUCCUGUCUCUUAUACA